This 460-nucleotide ribosomal RNA is filed under the name uncultured bacterium. Its description in RNAcentral is "partial 16S ribosomal RNA". It matches the Rfam family "Bacterial small subunit ribosomal RNA", at positions 338 to 795 of the family's 1533-position model. The record is from RNAcentral.
CCUACGGGUGGCAGCAGUGAGGAAUAUUGGUCAAUGGGCAGAAGCCUGAACCAGCCAAGUCGCGUGAGGGAUUAAGGCCCUGCGGGUCGUAAACCUCUUUUGCCGGGGAGCAGAGGUCCGGACGUGUCCGGGCCGGGAGAGUACCCGGAGAAAAAGCAUCGGCAAACUCCGUGCCAGCAGCCGCGGUAAUCCGGAGGUUGCGAGCGUUAGCCGGAUUGAUUGGUUUUAAGGGGUGCGUAGGCGGGCAUUUAAGCCGGCGGUCAAAUUUGGGGGCUCAACCCAGGCCUGCCGUCGGAACUGGGUGCCUUGAGUGGGCGAGAAGUAUGCGGAAUGCGUGGUGUAGCGGUGAAAUGCAUAGAUAUCACGCAGAACCCCGAUUGCGAAGGCAGCAUACCGGCGCCCUACUGACGCUGAGGCACGAAAGUGCGGGUAUCGAACAGGAUUAGAUACCCGUGUAGUC